Molecule: long non-coding RNA, 112 nt
Filed under: Monodelphis domestica (gray short-tailed opossum)
Lineage: Eukaryota; Metazoa; Chordata; Mammalia; Didelphimorphia; Didelphidae
Description: lncRNA (ENSMODG00000038131.1)
Source: RNAcentral
AUCAGUACAGAAGAGAUGCUAUUAACUUUCAUAUUUGCAGCCAAUAAUACAAGACAUCUGUUCUGAGUAACUUCCAUCUGGAAUACUGUAGCCCUCAUUUCCCGUUUGCAUA